GCCGACUUAGCUUAGCUGGCUUAGAGCAGUGGUCUUGUAAACCACAGGUCGUCGGUUCGAGUCCGACAGUCGGCU
RNAcentral lists this transfer RNA (75 nucleotides) under Borrelia anserina. RNAcentral describes it as "tRNA-Thr". It matches the Rfam family "tRNA". Rfam says of the family: Transfer RNA (tRNA) molecules are approximately 80 nucleotides in length. Their secondary structure includes four short double-helical elements and three loops (D, anti-codon, and T loops). The record is from RNAcentral. RNAcentral also lists the same sequence under 2 other names. Lineage: Bacteria; Pseudomonadati; Spirochaetota; Spirochaetia; Spirochaetales; Borreliaceae.